AUUGAACGCUGGCGGCAGGCCUAACACAUGCAAGUCGAACGGUAGCACAGAGAGCUUGCUCUCGGGUGACGAGUGGCGGACGGGUGAGUAAUGUCUGGGAAACUGCCCGAUGGAGGGGGAUAACUACUGGAAACGGUAGCUAAUACCGCAUAAUGUCGCAAGACCAAAGAGGGGGACCUUCGGGCCUCUUGCCAUCGGAUGUGCCCAGAUGGGAUUAGCUUGUAGGUGAGGUAACGGCUCACCUAGGCGACGAUCCCUAGCUGGUCUGAGAGGAUGACCAGCCACACUGGAACUGAGACACGGUCCAGACUCCUACGGGAGGCAGCAGUGGGGAAUAUUGCACAAUGGGCGCAAGCCUGAUGCAGCCAUGCCGCGUGUAUGAAGAAGGCCUUCGGGUUGUAAAGUACUUUCAGCGGGGAGGAAGGGAGUGAGGUUAAUAACCUUAUUCAUUGACGUUACCCGCAGAAGAAGCACCGGCUAACUCCGUGCCAGCGGCCGCGGUAAUACGGAGGGUGCAAGCGUUAAUCGGAAUUACUGGGCGUAAAGCGCACGCAGGCGGUCUGUCAAGUCGGAUGUGAAAUCCCCGGGCUCAACCUGGGAACUGCAUUCGAAACUGGCAGGCUGGAGUCUUGUAGAGGGGGGUAGAAUUCCAGGUGUAGCGGUGAAAUGCGUAGAGAUCUGGAGGAAUACCGGUGGCGAAGGCGGCCCCCUGGACAAAGACUGACGCUCAGGUGCGAAAGCGUGGGGAGCAAACAGGAUUAGAUACCCUGGUAGUCCACGCUGUAAACGAUGUCGACUUGGAGGUUGUUCCCUUGAGGAGUGGCUUCCGGAGCUAACGCGUUAAGUCGACCGCCUGGGGAGUACGGCCGCAAGGUUAAAACUCAAAUGAAUUGACGGGGGCCCGCACAAGCGGUGGAGCAUGUGGUUUAAUUCGAUGCAACGCGAAGAACCUUACCUACUCUUGACAUCCAGAGAACUUAGCAGAGAUGCUUUGGUGCCUUCGGGAACUCUGAGACAGGUGCUGCAUGGCUGUCGUCAGCUCGUGUUGUGAAAUGUUGGGUUAAGUCCCGCAACGAGCGCAACCCUUAUCCUUUGUUGCCAGCGGUCCGGCCGGGAACUCAAAGGAGACUGCCAGUGAUAAACUGGAGGAAGGUGGGGAUGACGUCAAGUCAUCAUGGCCCUUACGAGUAGGGCUACACACGUGCUACAAUGGCAUAUACAAAGAGAAGCGACCUCGCGAGAGCAAGCGGACCUCAUAAAGUAUGUCGUAGUCCGGAUUGGAGUCUGCAACUCGACUCCAUGAAGUCGGAAUCGCUAGUAAUCGUGGAUCAGAAUGCCACGGUGAAUACGUUCCCGGGCCU
Molecule: ribosomal RNA, 1361 nt
Filed under: uncultured bacterium
Lineage: Bacteria
Description: bacterial SSU rRNA
Rfam family: Bacterial small subunit ribosomal RNA
Source: RNAcentral